RNAcentral lists this ribosomal RNA (119 nucleotides) under Pteropus alecto (black flying fox). Lineage: Eukaryota; Metazoa; Chordata; Mammalia; Chiroptera; Pteropodidae. The record is from RNAcentral.
GUUUACGGCCACGCCACCCUGAGCAAGCCCGAUCCCAUCUGAUCUCGGCAGCUCUAAGCAGGGGGGCCUGGGUAGUACUUGGAUGGGAGCCCACCUAGGAAGACCAGGUUGUGUAGGCG